RNAcentral lists this ribosomal RNA (477 nucleotides) under Candidatus Scalindua marina (nom. nud.). Its description in RNAcentral is "bacterial SSU rRNA". It matches the Rfam family "Bacterial small subunit ribosomal RNA", at positions 365 to 832 of the family's 1533-position model. Lineage: Bacteria; Pseudomonadati; Planctomycetota; Candidatus Brocadiia; Candidatus Brocadiales; Candidatus Scalinduaceae. The record is from RNAcentral.
UUCGCAAUGCCCGAAAGGGUGACGAAGCGACGCCGCGUGGGUGAGGGAGGCCUUCGGGUUGUAAAGCCCUGUCAGGAGUUAAGAAGUGCAGGCACGCUAAUAUCGUGCCUGUUUGACAAAGGCUCCAAAGGAAGCCACGGCUAACUCUGUGCCAGCAGCCGCGGUAAUACAGAGGUGGCAAGCGUUGUUCGGAAUUUUUGGGCGUAAAGAGCACGUAGGUGGAUUUGUAAGUCAGACGUGAAAGCCUCCUGUUCAACGGGAGAAUUGCAUCUGGAACUGCAAACCUUGAGUAUAGGAGGGGAGAAUGGAACUUCUGGUGGAGCGGUGAAAUGCGUAGAUAUCAGAAGGAACGCCGGCGGCGAAAGCGAUUCUCUGGCCUAUAACUGACACUCAGUGUGCGAAAGAUAGGGGAGCAAACGGGAUUAGAUACCCCGGUAGUCCUAGCCGUAAACGAUGGGCACUAAGUAGAGGGGUUUU